CAUGGCUAAAAAAUAGUACAUAGGGUAAAAUGCAGUUUUUGGCUCAUAUCUCUGAAACCAAAGCAUUUAGAGCGAACCUGAUGAGGAUAAAAUUGUUCAUUAGGUCAAGAUCUAUCUGCCCUGAAAUUUUCAGACCAAUCAGGCAACCCGUUGUUGGGUUGCUGCCCCUGAAUUGGUAAUUUUAAGGAAAUUUUGCCGUUUUUAGCUCACCUGACCUGAAAGGUCAAGUGAGCUUUUCUCAUCACUUGGCGUCUGUCGUCCGUCGUCCGUAAACUUUUACAAAAAUCUUCUCCUCUGAAACUACUGGGCCAAAUUUGACCAAACUUGGCCACAAUCAUCAUUGGGGUAUCUAGUUUAAAAAAUGUGUCCGGUGACCCGGCCAACCAACCAAGAUGGCCGCCAUGGCUAAAAAUAGAACAUAGGGGUAAAAUGUAGAUUUUGGCUUAUAUCUCUGAAACCAAAGCAUUUAGAGCAAAUCUGACAUGGGUUAAAUUGUUUAUCAGGUCAAGAUCUAUCUGCCCUGAAAUUUUCAGAUGAAUCAGACAACCCGUUGUUGGGUUGCUGCCACUGAAUUGGUAAUUUUAAGGAAAUUUUGCCGUUUUUGGUUAUUAUCUUGAAUAUUAUCAUAGAUAGAGAUAAACUGGAAACAGCAAUAAUGUUCAGCAAAGUAAGAUCUACAAAUAAGUCAACUUGACCAAAAUGGUCAUUUGACCCCUUAAGGAGUUAUUGCCCUUUAUAGUCAAUUUUUAACCAUUUUUCGUAAAUUUUUGUAAUCUUUUACAAAAAUCUUCUCCUCUGAAACUACUAAGACAAAUUUAACCAAACUUGUCCACAAUCAUCAUUAGGGUAUUUUGUUUAAAAAAUGUGUCAGAUGACCCCGCCCGCGAACCAAGAUGGCCGCCAUGGCUAAAAAAUAGUACAUAGGGUAAAAUGCAGUUUUUGGCUCAUAUCUCUGAAACCAAAGCAUUAAGAGCAAAUCUGAUGAGGAUAAAAUUGUUCAUUAGGUCAAGAUCUAUCUGCCCUGAAAUUUUCAGACCAAUCAGGCAACCCGUUGUUGGGUUGCUGCCCCUGAAUUGGUAAUUUUAAGGAAAUUUUGCCGUUUUUGGUUAUUAUCUUGAAUAUUAUUAUAGAUAGAGAUAAACUGUAAACAGCAAUAAUGUUCAGCAAAGUAAGAUCUACAAAAAAGUCACCUUGACCAAAAUGGUCAGUUGACCCCUUAAGGAGUUAUUGCCCUUUACAGUCAAUUUUUAACCAUUUUUCGUAAAUUUUUGUAAUCUUUUACAAAAAUCUUCUCCUCUGAAACUACUAAGACAAAUUUAACCAAACUUGUCCACAAUCAUCAUUAGGGUAUCUAGUUUAAAAAAUGUGUCCGAUGACCCCGCCCGCGAACCAAGAUGGCCGCCAUGGCUAAAAAAUAGUACAUAGGGUAAAAUGCAGUUUUUGGCUCAUAUCUCUGAAACCAAAGCAUUAAGAGCAAAUCUGAUGAGGAUAAAAUUGUUCAUUAGGUCAAGAUCUAUCUGCCCUGAAAUUUUCAGACCAAUCAGGCAACCCGUUGUUGGGUUGCUGCCCCUGAAUUGGUAAUUUUAAGGAAAUUUUGCCGUUUUUGGUUAUUAUCUUGAAUAUUAUUAUAGAUAGAGAUAAACUGUAAACAGCAAUAAUGUUCAGCAAAGUAAGAUCUACAAAAAAGUCACCUUGACCAAAAUGGUCAGUUGACCCCUUAAGGAGUUAUUGCCCUUUACAGUCAAUUUUUAACCAUUUUUCGUAAAUUUUUGUAAUCUUUUACAAAAAUCUUCUCCUCUGAAACUACUAAGACAAAUUUAACCAAACUUGUCCACAAUCAUCAUUAGGGUAUCUAGUUUAAAAAAUGUGUCCGAUGACCCCGCCCGCGAACCAAGAUGGCCGCCAUGGCUAAAAAAUAGUACAUAGGGUAAAAUGCAGUUUUUGGCUCAUAUCUCUGAAACCAAAGCAUUAAGAGCAAAUCUGAUGAGGAUAAAAUUGUUCAUUAGGUCAAGAUCUAUCUGCCCUGAAAUUUUCAGACCAAUCAGGCAACCCGUUGUUGGGUUGCUGCCCCUGAAUUGGUAAUUUUAAGGAAAUUUUGCCGUUUUUGGUUAUUAUCUUGAAUAUUAUUAUAGAUACAGAUAAACUGUAAACAGCAAUAAUGUUCAGCAAAGUAAGAUCUACAAAAAAGUCACCUUGACCAAA
Molecule: long non-coding RNA, 2202 nt
Organism: Mytilus californianus (California mussel)
Lineage: Eukaryota; Metazoa; Mollusca; Bivalvia; Mytilida; Mytilidae
Exons: 3
Source: RefSeq, a predicted model, not a curated record